This 253-nucleotide ribosomal RNA is filed under the name uncultured bacterium. Its description in RNAcentral is "partial 16S ribosomal RNA". It matches the Rfam family "Bacterial small subunit ribosomal RNA", at positions 524 to 776 of the family's 1533-position model. The record is from RNAcentral.
UACAAAGGGGGCGAGCGUUGUUCGGAAUUACUGGGCGUAAAGCGCACGUAGGCGGACGUGUAAGUCAGGUGUGAAAUCCCCGGGCUCAACCUGGGAACUGCAUUUGAUACUGCAAGUCUGGAGUGCGGAAGAGGUGAGUGGAAUUCCUGGUGUAGAGGUGAAAUUCGUAGAUAUUGGGAGGAACACCAGUGGCGAAGGCGGCUCACUGGUCCGGUUCUGACGCUGAGGCGCGAAAGCGUGGGGAGCAAACAGG